RNAcentral lists this ribosomal RNA (293 nucleotides) under uncultured bacterium. RNAcentral describes it as "partial 16S ribosomal RNA". It matches the Rfam family "Bacterial small subunit ribosomal RNA", at positions 505 to 796 of the family's 1533-position model. The record is from RNAcentral.
GUGCCAGCCGCCGCGGUAAGACGAACCGUGCGAACGUUAUUCGGAAUCACUGGGCUUAAAGCGCGUGUAGGCGGGCCGCCACGUCGGCUGCUGAAAUCCCCCGGCUCAACCGGGGAACGGGCACCGAUACGAGCGGCCUCGAGGGGGGUAGGGGGGUCUGGAACUUCCGGUGGAGCGGUGAAAUGCGUUGAGAUCGGAAGGAACGCCCGUGGCGAAAGCGAGGCCCUGGACCCUUUCUGACGCUGAGACGCGAAAGCCAGGGGAGCGAACGGGAUUAGAAACCCUGGUAGUCC